GACGGAGGAUGCAAGCGUUAUCCGGAAUGAUUGGGCGUAAAGCGUCCGCAGGUGGCAGUUCAAGUCUGCUGUCAAAGACCGGGGCUUAACUUCGGAAAGGCAGUGGAAACUGAACAGCUAGAGUAUGGUAGGGGCAGAGGGAAUUCCUGGUGUAGCGGUGAAAUGCGUAGAGAUCCGGAAGAACACCAGUGGCGAAGGCGGUUAGCUGGGCAGUUGCUGACACUGAUGCGCGACAGCGUGGGGAGCAAACAGG
RNAcentral lists this ribosomal RNA (253 nucleotides) under uncultured bacterium. Its description in RNAcentral is "partial 16S ribosomal RNA". It matches the Rfam family "Bacterial small subunit ribosomal RNA", at positions 524 to 776 of the family's 1533-position model. The record is from RNAcentral.